This is a long non-coding RNA of Perognathus longimembris pacificus (Pacific pocket mouse), 198 nucleotides long. RefSeq lists it as uncharacterized. NCBI's taxonomy places the organism in Eukaryota, Metazoa, Chordata, Mammalia, Rodentia, Heteromyidae. The record is from RefSeq and is a predicted model, not a curated record. The transcript is spliced from 2 exons.
UUCCUUCAUUUCUUUUGCUCUUUUUCAUUAUUUCUUUUCUUUGACUUCUUGAUGUCUCCACUUUCUCUGGCCACUCUGAAUGUCUUCAUGUAACUUUUAAGAUUAACAUUCUAGUAAUGUUUCUAAUGCUUUAGAGACAUAACUUAUGAAGUACAACAUGUAUAGCUAAAAUGUUUGGAGAUAAUAUUAAAGGAGUUG